CCUACGUGAGGCAGCAGUGAGGAAUAUUGGUCAAUGGACGAAAGUCUGAACCAGCCAAGUAGCGUGAAGGAUUACUGCCCUAUGGGUUGUAAACUUCUUUUAUAUGGGCAUAAAAUUGUCCACGUGUGGGUGUUUGUAUGUACCACAUGAAUCAGGACCGGCUAAUUCCGUGCCAUCAGCCGCGGUAAUACGGAGGGUCCGUGCGUUAUCCGGCUUUCUUGGGUUUAAAGGGAGCGUAGGGGGAUUGUUAAGUCGGUCGUGAAAGUUUGCGGCUCAAACAUGAGAGUGCAGUUGGAACUGGCGGUCUUGAGUACAGGAGAGGUAGGCGGAAUUCGUGGGGUAGCGGUGAAAUGCUUAGAUAUCACGAAGAACUCCGAUUGCGAAGGCAGCUAACUGGACUGCUACUGACACUGAGGCUCGAAAGCGUGGGUAUCAAACAGGAUUAGAUACCCCAGUAGUC
RNAcentral lists this ribosomal RNA (460 nucleotides) under uncultured bacterium. Its description in RNAcentral is "partial 16S ribosomal RNA". It matches the Rfam family "Bacterial small subunit ribosomal RNA", at positions 338 to 795 of the family's 1533-position model. The record is from RNAcentral.